RNAcentral lists this ribosomal RNA (420 nucleotides) under Shigella sonnei. RNAcentral describes it as "partial 23S ribosomal RNA". It matches the Rfam family "Bacterial large subunit ribosomal RNA", at positions 1 to 451 of the family's 2925-position model. The record is from RNAcentral. Lineage: Bacteria; Pseudomonadati; Pseudomonadota; Gammaproteobacteria; Enterobacterales; Enterobacteriaceae.
GGGUUGUGAGGUUAAGCGACUAAGCGUACACGGUGGAUGCCUUGGCAGUCAGAGGCGAUGAAGGACGUGCUAAUCUGCGAUAAGCGUCGGUAAGGUGAUAUGAACCGUUGUAACCGGCGAUUUCCGAAUGGGGAAACCCAGUGUGAUUCGUCACACUAUCAUUAACUGAAUCCAUAGGUUAAUGAGGCGAACCGGGGGAACUGAAACAUCUAAGUACCCCGAGGAAAAGAAAUCAACCGAGAUUCCCCCAGUAGCGGCGAGCGAACGGGGAGCAGCCCAGAGCCUGAAUCAGUGUGUGUGUUAGUGGAAGCGUCUGGAAAGGCGCGCGAUACAGGGUGACAGCCCCGUACACAAAAAUGCACAUAUUGUGAGCUCGAUGAGUAGGGCGGGACACGUGGUAUCCUGUCUGAAUAUGGGGGG